This 500-nucleotide ribosomal RNA is filed under the name uncultured Glomeromycotina. RNAcentral describes it as "partial small subunit ribosomal RNA". It matches the Rfam family "Eukaryotic small subunit ribosomal RNA", at positions 591 to 1092 of the family's 1831-position model. Lineage: Eukaryota; Fungi; Glomeromycota. The record is from RNAcentral.
CCAAUAGCGUAUAUUAAAGUUGUUGCAGUUAAAAAGCUCGUAGUUGAAUUUCGGGGUUAGUAGGCUGGUCGUGCCACCGGUACGUACUGGUCUUACUGAUUCCUCCUUCCUGAUGAACUGUAAUGCCAUUAAUUUGGUGUUGCAGGGAAUCUGGACUGUUACUUUGAAAAAAUUAGAGUGUUUAAAGCAGGCUAACGCUUGAAUACAUUAGCAUGGAAUAAUGAAAUAGGACGUUCGAUCCUAUUUUGUUGGUUUCUAGGAUUGACGUAAUGAUUAAUAGGGAUAGUUGGGGGCAUUAGUAUUCAAUUGUCAGAGGUGAAAUUCUUGGAUUUAUUGAAGACUAACUACUGCGAAAGCAUUUGCCAAGGAUGUUUUCAUUAAUCAAGAACGAAAGUUAGGGGAUCGAAGACGAUCAGAUACCGUCGUAGUCUUAACCAUAAACUAUGCCGACUAGGGAUCGGAUGAUGUUAAUUUUUUAAUGACUCAUUCGGCGCCUUACG